AGCCUACGGGGGGCAGCAGUGAGGAAUAUUGGUCAAUGGGCGGAAGCCUGAACCAGCCAAGUCGCGUGAGGGAUUAAGGCCCUAUGGGUCGUAAACCUCUUUUGUCAGGGAGCAAGGUCGUCCACGUGUGGGCGUAUGGAGAGUACCUGAAGAAAAAGCAUCGGCUAACUCCGUGCCAGCAGCCGCGGUAAUACGGAGGAUGCGAGCGUUAUCCGGAUUUAUUGGGUUUAAAGGGUGCGUAGGCGGUCCGUUAAGUCAGCGGUAAAAUUGCGGGGCUCAACCCCGUCGAGCCGUUGAAACUGGCG
Molecule: ribosomal RNA, 305 nt
Filed under: uncultured bacterium
Lineage: Bacteria
Description: bacterial SSU rRNA
Rfam family: Bacterial small subunit ribosomal RNA
Source: RNAcentral